GUGAGUGUCAUAUAGCGGUUAUUAUCUCCGACUUCCAAUCGGAUGACUCCGGUUCGAUUCCGGACACUCAUA
This 72-nucleotide transfer RNA is filed under the name Tremella fuciformis. Its description in RNAcentral is "tRNA-Gly". It matches the Rfam family "tRNA". From Rfam's summary of the family: Transfer RNA (tRNA) molecules are approximately 80 nucleotides in length. Their secondary structure includes four short double-helical elements and three loops (D, anti-codon, and T loops). The record is from RNAcentral. Lineage: Eukaryota; Fungi; Basidiomycota; Tremellomycetes; Tremellales; Tremellaceae.